GUCUGCAGCCAUGCCACCCUAAACACCCCCGAUCCCGUCUGAUCUCAGAAGCUAAGCAGGGUCAGGCCUGGGUAGUACUUGGAUGGGAGACCACCUAGGAAGACCAGGUGCUGUAGGCU
This is a non-coding RNA of Pteropus alecto (black flying fox), 119 nucleotides long. Lineage: Eukaryota; Metazoa; Chordata; Mammalia; Chiroptera; Pteropodidae. The record is from Rfam.